CAGCCGCCGCGGGAACACGGAGGGUGCAAGCGUUACUCGGAGUUACUGGGCGUAAAGCGUGCGUAGGUGGUGGUUUAAGUCCGUUGUGAAAGCCCUGGGCUCAACCUGGGAAUUGCAGUGGACACUGGGUCACUAGAGUGUGGUAGAGGAUAGUGGAAUUUCCGGUGUAGCAGUGAAAUGCGUAGAGAUCGGAAGGAACAUCUGUGGCGAAGGCGACUAUCUGGGCCAACACUGACGCUGAGGCACGAAAGCGUGGGGAGCAAACAGGAUUAGAUACCCCCGUAGUCCCUGUCUCUUAUAC
Molecule: ribosomal RNA, 301 nt
Filed under: uncultured bacterium
Lineage: Bacteria
Description: partial 16S ribosomal RNA
Rfam family: Bacterial small subunit ribosomal RNA
Source: RNAcentral